AAGGGUCUAGACAAGGGAGAAAUGUCAGUGGGGGUUUGGAAUCUGGAAGUGAUUAUGAAACCAAUUAGCACCUUUGAUUCUAGAAAAUUGAUUACAAAGGAUUUAAAUAAGAUUGAAGGUCAAGUGAAAUGGUACUAACAUGUUUGUAAAGAUACAUUGACUCAGAUAUUCUGGAAUAUGUUUCUGUCUCUUAGAGAAACAAACAGCUAUAUGGUAAGGCUUCACACUCAUUAUCAUUUAACCAAGGCAACCUGAGACUUUGCUAGUCUGUGUAAUGCAGUAAAAAUCAGCUUGUUAAGGGAUGUUUAAAGGGUGCCUCCAUUUGUUUUCAGAUCCAGGCAAGGGAUGGGGAAUUUGGUGGCAAUUUGAGAUGAUGAUGGAGACCCUGUUAUAAUUUGUUUUUUCAACACAUGUCUACCUACUGUGUGCCAGGCUUUGGGGUAGGUAUCAGGAAUUACACUGUACUCAUUCACUUAGUUACUCAGCAAUCAUGUGAUGUCCUUGUGAGAUGCUUGAAAUAAGAUAUUACAAAGACUACUCACAGGGUAAGAGUGCCGUCAACUAACUACCCGCCUGAUACUAAGCACGGUGGGGUUUGAAGAUGGGAACCACAGUGGUGGCGUGGUUACUACACUCCGGAGCCUGAAAAUCUGGGCUCAAGUCCUGACUCUACUAUUGGCCAUUUGUAGGGUGUUACUUAAUUUCUCUGAGCCUCAGUAUCUUUAUUUGUAUUGUGGGGAGAAUUACUUGAUAGAGCAAUGAUAAUUUGAUGGAAUAUGCCUGUGAAGCAGUUAGCAGAAUAUCUGAAACAGAAAAGGCAGCAGACUCAAAGAGGACCGGGGCUCCAUCUGCCUUAGGCUGAGACUCCUGAGCUGUGAGGAAGUCCUCCAUACAUACCCUUCUCUGCCCACCCACCUGGUCUCCAGGUGUGAGCCUCCAGUUUGGAGCCUGUUACCCUGGCAACCACAUCAGGGAAGAUGGCUGCCACAGCUGAGCCAGGCUCUCCGGUCUUCACAAACCUCAUUUCCUCCCACGCCCUGGGUCACCCCAGCAGGGAGGCAGCAUAAUUCCAGUUUAGAGGUAAGGCAGGAUCAAGGGAAAUUUGGUGACUUGCCCAAGAUCUUAGCAGGAUUUAAACCCAGGUCUGCCUGGUUCUAGGGCUGUGUUUCUUCAAUCAGCCUCCCACCUUCAAAUUGGCAGCAUGACAAGGAAGAUGGCAGGGUGGAAGCGGCCAGAGCAUGACUUUGGAAAGAGCAUCUUGAUGAGAACUUCCAACCCCCACCCCCUGGCAUUUUGGUUUUUGUUGUUUUUUUGGGAGAAAGCCCUGCCUGGGCACAGGUGGCAGUCCUGUUUGGCAGAGGAUGGAGAGUGACUUGUUUCCAAGAUGGGUAUUUUAACAGCCUGUGCCUAAUUGCACAGCUCUUGUGCUGAUGAGAUGUUUGUCAUGGGCUUUUUGCCAAAGUGAGAUCCAGGUGUCAUCCGAGGUAGUCACUGAUUAAGCAUUCCCAAAGUGACAGUGUAGUUCAGAAAGCCAACCCAGUCCAAGGAUGGGCAAGCAAGGGACAGGAGUGGUGAGGAGGGCUUUGGUGUCUGGACAGAUCUGCCUCCCAUUCUGGUGCUGCCACACUGUGCCACUGUGACUAUAGCAAGUGAUGUAAUCUUUCUUGGUCUCAAUGUGUUUAUCUAUGAAUAAGAGAAAAUACUGUGUGUAUGCAGCUGUGCUUUGAAGAUUGGAGUUCUCUCUGCAAAGUGCCUAGUGCAGAGCUUGGCACAUAGGAGGUUUUGAGUAACAGCAGGUACCAGCCAUUUAUUGUACAUCAAGAAUCCUAGAUUAAGCUCUGUGAGGGCAGGAACUACACCUUUUUUGUGCAUUGUUAUAUUCUUAGUUUCUGGCAUUGUGCCUGACACAUAGUAAAUAAUUGUGGAUAGAUAGAGGAUUGAGAAAUAUCUUGUAGGUGGUGUGGAUGGAACAUGGUGGCUGGUUGACUCAUGAUGACAGAGGCAACAAAGAUGACUUGGGGGUGGUUGGUUUGAGCAGGUCAGUGUGAUGAUGCUACUUGCUAAACGGGGAAUGCAGGAGGAAAAGCAAACCCAGAAAUGGAUGUGGGAAAGAUGAACUCAGUUUUGACUGUGUGUCUGCAGGACAUCAAAGAGGAUUUGAGUAGCGGAUACAUAAAAGUGUGCAUAUGGGGUCCUGCUGGGUGGAGGGUCAGUAAGGCAGCCUUAACUCUAGGAAAUCAUCCUUGUGUUGCUUAAGACACCAUGCACUGCAAAGAACAAAACACCUUGAGUUAGGAUGACUUCACCGAGGGAUGGGAAAACUAUGGCUAUGUCUAGCCCACUGCCUGAUUUUGGAUGUCAUGUUUAUUGGAACAGAGACAUGUCCAUGUGUCUCUGUGGCUGCUUUCAUGUUACAAGGACAGACUAGUGGUUUCAGAGACUGAACGACUGGCACAGCCUAAAAUAUUUACUCUUUGGUCAUUUACAGGAAAAAAGAAAAUGCUGACACGUGACUUAAUAUGUUAUCUCAUUUGCAUCAUGAUUUAAGAUUCUACAUAUAAGUGAUACCAUAUGAUAUUUGUCUUUUUCUGUCUGACUUACUUAAUAUGAUAAUCUCUAGGUCCAUCCAUAUUGCUACAAAACAGAAAUAGACUCACAGACAUAGAAGACAAACUUAAGGUUACAAAAGGGAAUGGGGCCUUUGGUAAAGGAGUUUGGGAUUAACAUAUACACCUUAUUAUACAUAAAAUAGGUAAAUGACAAGGACCUACUGUAUAGCACAGGGAACUAUUACAUAUCUUGUAAUUACCUAUGCUAGAAAAGCAUCUGAAAAAGAAUAUAUGUAUAAUUGAAUCAUUUCACUAUACACUUAAAGCUAACAGAACAUUGUAAAUUAACUAUACUUUAAUGAAAACACAAUGAAACAAAAAAGCAAUAUAUUAUCUCAUUAAAUAAGGCUCAGGUCAGAUUGUUUCCAUGGUCCAAGGUUGUGAUGGGGAUGCAGGACCUUUCUGUCACACUUAACUCUGUCCAUCUCAGUGUCCAGUUUCCAUCUCAGUGUCCAGUUUCCAUCUCACUUUCCAUCCUCAGUGUGUCAGUUCUGCCUAAGGCUGUCUCCCUUCAUCACUGCAGGAUGGCAGCAGCACUUCCCUGCUUUAUAUCUGGAAAUGACACCUCCUGGUGCUGAGGAAGGUACAUAUCUCUUUCUUGCGUCCUUGUGGAAGCACCCCCCUGCCCCACCCCACUUCUCCUCCUGGCUCUUGCUCCAAGGUUUAGUCUCCAGUCUCUUACAAGGGAAAUGGCAUUAAGAGGUUAGCGUAGACCAGUGAUUCUCAAUGCUGGCCGUACAUUAAAUGACCCCCGAGACUUUUAAAAAUAGAAUUUGCAGCAAGUCCAGAUAUUGGAUUUUUUAAAAGCAUCCUGGGUGAUUUUAAGGUGCAGCAAGUAUGGAGUGAAAACUGCCUGAGACAAAUCAUUCUGAGGAGGAACAGGUGCUAGCAACACAGAUGUUAUGACCAAUACAAUCCCCAUGGAGAAAAAAAUAGAUGCCUUGGAGGCUGAGUCCCUGCUCAGGACAGGCUUGUCAGGAGUAUUCUUGGUAGCUGGGCUGGAUCAGACAAGAUGUUAGUUCAGUUAAGGCCAAAGGCAGCCUAAUCAGAAGUAAAAAUUGUGACCAAGGAGUAAAGCCAGACUCCAGAGCCAAAAAAGAGCAUUAGGUAGCAAGUCUGGGGGACAAAACGGAAAUAGGAAGUAGGAAAAUGAGCCAAGAGUGUGGAGAGGUGAGGAGGGGGAGAUGGAGAAAGGUGAGCAACAGGGGCGCCGGAGGCCAGAUGUGAUGCCAGGUGUGAUGAAGAACAACGUUCUGUAGAGUCAAAGGGACAGCGCUGGACCUGAGCGGCCAGGACCUGUGUCUCUCCCUCAGCCCCUGUGGCGGUGCUUGGCCUUAGUCAGGCCAUAACCGAGGCCAAGAUAUCGAUGGGCAGGUGCCUCCCUGCCCCCUCUUGUUUGACUCUGGCUUCUGCCAGAUUCACAAAAGGAGCCAGCAGUGUUGUUCAUUAAAAAGCAUCAAAUUCACCAUAGGUUUGUGAGGGCUGAACUUAGCAACAGCCCUUUGGCAAAUGCCAGAAAGAGGCUGAAGUUUUUCUCUGGUGACCAGUGCUCCCGUGUUCUCUGUCCCCUUCCUUCUUCUUCUUUCCUGUUGUUCCCUCCUUUCUUGGGGGCCAGGACUUUCCCAGGCAGCCUCUGUGUUCCAUCCCUCCAUCAUUCAGUCAGGCCGGUCUCUCCCCUCAGUUCAGUGAUAGUCUGUCCGGCAUUCAUUAAACAAACAUGUAUAAAACAUCCACCAUGUGCCAGGCAUCCACAUGCUGUAGUCCUAAGGCAUGGAGAUGGAGGAGCACUAAAUCCACUGUCAGGAGACUCGUGUGGACUGACCAUGGACCGAGGCAGAUUCAUAGACAAGCAGUCAACACUUAUGAGAACAAAAUAAAUUGCAGUGUGACUUUUCAAGUCUUAAAACCAAACAGUGGGCCGGAAGACCCAGGGUCCAGGAGCUCUAAUGGCACCUGCCAUCUUUGUUUAGUUCUGGACAAAUCACCCAACUGCUUGGAGUCAGCUUCCCAAUAUGCCAAAAUAGCAAGGUGGUGACUGCUUAGAACCACCAACAGCGACAGCCAAUGGAUUGAUAGCCACAGCAUGUGACUGUUUUUACAGAAUUGUGUAACGUUAUACAAAGACAGAGGUAUUUUAUGUAUCUUUUUCUUCUUCUCCUCCUGGGUAGAAACAGACCUAAAAUAACUCUUAAGGAUUCAAUUUUGAAACUCAAACUUCCCUUUGUAUUCUUUUUCAGCUGUGCCCGUGGCAUAUGGAAGUACCCUGGUCAGGGAUUGAAUAUGAGCCACAGCUGCAACCUACACCACAACUGCAGCAAAUCUGGAUCCUUAAUGCAGUUCUCCAGGCUGGGGCUUGAACCCAUGCUGCUGCAGAGAACUCCUCAAACUCUCCUUUUAGCUAAUGUAACACAAUAGAGAUAAUGUGAGCCUGGAGUCAGACAGAGUUGUAUUCAAACCCUGGUUCUCCCAAUUCAUUGCUCUGUGUCCUUCACCAAGUUACUUAGCCUCUCUGAACUUAGUUUCCACAUUGGAGUAGCAAUAACACAUAACAUCUACUUGCAUGGGUGUUAUGAGGAAUAAGUGAAGUUAUACAUAUUUAGUGUUUUUGAAAUCUGGAGCCCUGGCACAGAGAAAGCAUUCCAGAAAUGAUAGCUGCUAUUAUUAUUACUGCUGCUGUUGUUGUUGUUAAUUGUAUUAUUAUUAGUGCUGUGCUGGUAAACUUUUACACUACAGCCUUCUCACAAGAAAAAAAAAAAAAAAAA
This 5371-nucleotide long non-coding RNA is filed under the name Sus scrofa (pig). Its description in RNAcentral is "lncRNA (ENSSSCG00060049941.1)". Lineage: Eukaryota; Metazoa; Chordata; Mammalia; Artiodactyla; Suidae. The record is from RNAcentral.